Molecule: long non-coding RNA, 1138 nt
Organism: Athene cunicularia (burrowing owl)
Lineage: Eukaryota; Metazoa; Chordata; Aves; Strigiformes; Strigidae
Exons: 3
Source: RefSeq, a predicted model, not a curated record
AUGGGGGAUUUCAAUUUUUCAAUUGCAGCUGUCCCAUGACUUAUUUUUCUCUCCAGGGGUCAGAGGCUGGGAUGGAGUUACCUUCCCAGAAGGUUGUCUGAGGAUCAGCACACCCAACUCCAUUACACUCCUGCAGAAGUAUCACUGGAGACCUUCUCAAGGCAUCAUUCGACAGAAAGCAAGUAAUGUGCUCACGUCAGCUGUCUUCCCUUUCAUCUGACGCUGCAACAACUCUUCAGAAAAUCAGGAAGGAAGGGAGAGAGGGAAGCAAGAAAGACCAAAAGCAAAGUGAUGCUGUGCAGAAGAUCUGAGGCUGCGUCCAGGCUCCCCACCACAGCCCCACAGAGAGGCACAGCCCCAUGUGUGUGGGGGCCGGCCACGGGGAUGCUCAGGGCCCAUCUGCCUUGGAAGACAAGUCCCGGGAGUCAAGCAAUGGGAUUAAGAAGUCAGCCAGACAUGCUGUCCACUGGGAAGAGACUACUACUGCUCUGGUGCCUUGUCAGAUGUUCGCACACCAAACCCCACUCAGGAGAACAGGAUGCGAAAGCUCAGUGUAGUAGAUUCAUCUUACAACAGAGGUCCCAAAUCCUACAGUUUUAUUACAAAUUUUGUGAUUUAGGGUCAUGUUUUGUUCCCAGGGCCCUGUUUCUCAGAUUACUCUGAUUGCGUAAUAUGCCAUCUUUUCACUUCCAACAGAAAAAAACAAAACAAAACCCCCCCAAAAAAAACCAACCAACAUUUUCGGCCCUCAAAAUGCAAAGAAAAUGUCAAUGUAAAAUUGUCUUCAAGAAGGCCCUUCCCUAUGGCUUUUCCCUGGGGUAAGUCAGUGACUAGCUCAGGGAAUGAUCUCCAUCAGCCUUUCACACAGCAAUAUUUGAAAAACUACAGAUUUUAGGGAGAAAAAAAAUACUACUUCAUUUCACAGGUCUCCUUUUUACUUUCUCAGCUGGAGGUCUAUAUGCAACUGGGACUGGACAUGGGAGCUAAAGGCCAUUCCACUUUUAGGAUCUCCCUGCUGCAGUGUCUGGAGUUCUUUAAGUGAAAGUAUCAGUGAAAGCCCGUUGGGUUUGUAAAGCUUUGAGAAUGUUCCUAUUAUUCUUAGAUAUUGCAAAAGCUUGUUUUUCAAAAUAAAAUGAAA